RNAcentral lists this ribosomal RNA (477 nucleotides) under uncultured bacterium. RNAcentral's name for it is "bacterial SSU rRNA". It matches the Rfam family "Bacterial small subunit ribosomal RNA", at positions 29 to 526 of the family's 1533-position model. The record is from RNAcentral.
AACGAACGCUGGCGGCAGGCUUAACACAUGCAAGUCGAGCGCGUAGCAAUACGAGCGGCAGACGGGUGAGUAACGCGUGGGAAUCUACCCCUUACUACGGAAUAACGCAGGGAAACUUGUGCUAAUACCGUAUGUGGCCGAGAGGCGAAAGAUUUAUCGGUAAGGGAUGAGCCCGCGUUGGAUUAGCUAGUUGGUGGGGUAAAGGCCUACCAAGGCGACGAUCCAUAGCUGGUCUGAGAGGAUGAUCAGCCACACUGGGACUGAGACACGGCCCAGACUCCUGCGGGAGGCAGCAGUGGGGAAUAUUGGACAAUGGGCGCAAGCCUGAUCCAGCCAUGCCGCGUGAGUGAUGAAGGCCCUAGGGUUGUAAAGCUCUUUCACCGGUGAAGAUAAUGACGGUAACCGGAGAAGAAGCGAGAGUGACGGUACCUGCAGAAAAAGCACCGGCUAACUACGUGCCAGCCGCCGCGGUAAAAC